UUCCUCUUAAGAACGAAGCAAAGUGAGCCUCCACGCGCUUAUCGCCGUACACGAUCCUCCUCCCCCCUUUCGAUUCCUCUCUGCUCUCUCUCUCUCUCUCUCUCUCUCUCUCGAGCGAGCGAGCUAUGAGUUCGGCGAGCGAUCCCAAACCGGUGGUCACUGGCUAUCCCGCCGCACCCCCGCCACCCGCGGUUGGCGCCGCCUACGCCACCACCGGCACCGCCUAUUCCUACUCCGCCCCACCACCCCCCUCCGGCGGCGCUGCCUAUCCCACCGCCGGCACCGCCUACCCCUACGCCGCACCGCCGCCCCACGCCGCCCUCUACUAUUCCUCCCACUACCCCAACGGGUCGGCGCCGCCUGCGGCCCCCUACGGCCCCCCCGCCCGCCCCCACACCCGCUUCCUCAGCCGCCUUCUCGCCGUCGCCGUCGCCUUCUUCCUCCUCAUGGGCCUCGCUACCCUCAUCCUCUGGCUAGUCCUCCGCCCCCGCCUCCCUGCCUUCGCUGUCUCCUCCGCCUCAGUCUCCGCUUUCAAUCUCUCCACCUCCCAGCAGGUUCUCUCCUCGGACUUCGACCUCUCUCUCUCCGUCCGGAACCCUAACCACAAGAUGGGCAUCUACUACGACAGCGUCGCCGCUGCCGUCUUCUACGGAUCCGACGCCAUCACCGAGACCUCCCUCCCGCCGUUCUACCAGGGCAAGGGGAAUGCCACCACCGUCCGGGCGCGCCUCGUGGCUGCGGCGGCGUACGUCGAUGCCGACGUCGCCAAGGGGAUCUCCUCCGAUCGAGGCCCCGGCGACGGCGUCGUCAAUUUCCAUGUUAGGGUUUUGGCGUGGGUUAGGUUCCGCGCCGGGGCGUGGAGGACAAGGCGGCACGUGAUGAGAGUCUACUGCGACGACGUCCCCAUAGGGUUCAAGAACGGGACGGCGACCGUUGGAUCCCUGGUGGGCUCACCAAAGCAGUGCGAAGUUGAUCUCUGACUGGCCAACAGGAAUUGGUACCCGGCGCUCCCUCAAGAUCAAUUUGUGUGCGAACUGGUCCCAGAUCAAUCUGUUACAUCUGGGUCCCAAGUACAAGAGGUGUUUUUAGUGGUUCCUUUUAUCACCUUCAACUGUUCCAGCCCGUAACCCAUGUAGUCAAGAAGGAACAAACAAUUGAGAAUCAAAUAUAUUAUGAAAGGACCAAGAAUAUCAAAUUGGAUUUCAUGUUUUUUGUGAUAGUCUUUUGCUGUCUUUGUUGGACAUACUUUAACUUGCUGCAUCAAUUUAUAGCUUUUCAAUAUGGCAUGAUAUUUUGAGUU
Phoenix dactylifera (date palm) is the source of this 1300-nucleotide RNA transcript. It is a transcript of the gene named NDR1/HIN1-like protein 10, with no coding region annotated. NCBI's taxonomy places the organism in Eukaryota, Viridiplantae, Streptophyta, Magnoliopsida, Arecales, Arecaceae. The record is from RefSeq and is a predicted model, not a curated record.